GCGCGGCUGGCUGGUCCGCCUCACGGCGUGUACUGGUCCCGGUCGUGCUUUCCUCUUGGGUGGCCCGAUGGUGCUUUAUUGUGCCGUCGGGAUGACCCAGGACUUUUACUUUGAAAAAAUUAGAGUGUUUAAAGCAGGCAAUCGCUUGAAUACAUUAGCAUGGAAUAAUGAAAUAGGACGUUCGACCCUAUUUUGUUGGUUUCUAGGAUUGACGUA
This 216-nucleotide ribosomal RNA is filed under the name uncultured fungus. RNAcentral's name for it is "partial small subunit ribosomal RNA". The stretch from base 92 to 216 matches the Rfam family "Eukaryotic small subunit ribosomal RNA", at positions 738 to 864 of the family's 1831-position model. The record is from RNAcentral. Lineage: Eukaryota; Fungi.